UUCAGGGAAACCCCGGAAUUAAAAAAAAAGGGCAAUCCUGAGCCAAAUCCCGUUUUCUCAAACCAAACGAAAGGUUCAGAAAACGAAAAAAAAGGAUAGGUCCAGAGACUCAAUGGAAGCUGUUCUAACAAAUGGGGCCACUGGUAGAGGAAUCUUUCCACCAAAACGUCAGAAAGGAUCAAGGACAAAUUUAUCUAUUGAAUACUAUAUCAAAUGAGUAAUGGUGGCCCGAAUCUCUAGAUGUAAUGUAUUUUUUUAUAUUCCAAAUAGAAGAAUUGGUGUGAAUUCAUUCGACAUUGAAUAAAAACUAUAAUUGAAUAAAAACUAUAAUUUUUUUUCAUCAAAUCAUUCACUCCAUAGUCCGAUAAACCUUUUAAAGAACUGAUCAAUUGAACAAGAAUAAAGAUAGAGUCCACUUCUACAUGUCAAUACCGACAACAAUGAAAUUUAUAGUAAGAGGAAAAUCCGUUGACUUUAAAAAUCGUGAGGGUUCAAGUCCCUCUAUCCCCAAACAAGCCUAUUUGACUCCCAAAAUCGUUAUCUGACCCUCUCCCUUUCAGUUACAAAUUGCUUUAUUUUUCUGAUUCUUUUACAAACGUAGUUGGGUUUAAAUGACUGUAUCUUCGCCCAUGUGAUAUAGAAUACACAUCCCAUUUUAGCAAAGAAUCCCGAUUGAAAUGAUUCACAAUCAAUAGCUUUACGAAUACUGAAACUUAGAAAUCGAAAGUGGUCUUUUUAAGAUCAAACAAAUUGAAGUACUUGGCGAAAAAUUUGUAAUCCCCCUUUCCCUUUAAUUGACAUAGACCCCAGUCAUCGACUAAAAUAAAAAAAGUUACUAUGCUGGGAAUGGCCGGGAU
Molecule: unclassified non-coding RNA, 857 nt
Filed under: Utricularia arenaria
Lineage: Eukaryota; Viridiplantae; Streptophyta; Magnoliopsida; Lamiales; Lentibulariaceae
Description: partial contains tRNA-Leu (trnL) gene and trnL-trnF spacer region
Rfam family: Group I catalytic intron (bases 1-435)
About the family: Group I catalytic introns are large self-splicing ribozymes. They catalyse their own excision from mRNA, tRNA and rRNA precursors in a wide range of organisms.
Source: RNAcentral